Molecule: ribosomal RNA, 293 nt
Filed under: uncultured bacterium
Lineage: Bacteria
Description: partial 16S ribosomal RNA
Rfam family: Bacterial small subunit ribosomal RNA
Source: RNAcentral
GGAUUAGAUACCCUGGUAGUCCACGCCGUAAACGAUGAGAACUAGACGUUGGGCGACAUAGUCGCUCAGUGUCGCAGCAAACGCGUUAAGUUCUCCGCCUGGGGAGUACGGCCGCAAGGUUGAAACUCAAAGGAAUUGACGGGGGCCCGCACAAGCGGUGGAGCAUGUGGUUUAAUUCGAUGCAACGCGAAGAACCUUACCUGCCCUUGACAUCCUGUGAACCCUUCGGAGACGAAGGGGUGCUUUCGAGAACACAGUGACAGGUGCUGCAUGGCUGUCGUCAGCUCGUGCCG